GCACUCACUUUGGCAGCACAUACACUAAACCUGGAAAGGUACAGAGAAAACUAGCAUGGUCCUUGUGCAAGGAUGGCAGCAAAUUUAUGAAGUGUUAAAAAAAAAU
Molecule: small nuclear RNA, 106 nt
Organism: Arvicanthis niloticus (Nile rat)
Lineage: Eukaryota; Metazoa; Chordata; Mammalia; Rodentia; Muridae
Source: RefSeq, a predicted model, not a curated record